RNAcentral lists this transfer RNA (76 nucleotides) under Acanthopleuribacter pedis. Its description in RNAcentral is "tRNA-Cys". It matches the Rfam family "tRNA". From Rfam's summary of the family: Transfer RNA (tRNA) molecules are approximately 80 nucleotides in length. Their secondary structure includes four short double-helical elements and three loops (D, anti-codon, and T loops). Further hydrogen bonds mediate the characteristic L-shaped molecular structure. tRNAs have two regions of fundamental functional importance: the anti-codon, which is responsible for specific mRNA codon recognition, and the 3' end, to which the tRNAs corresponding amino acid is attached (by aminoacyl-tRNA synthetases). tRNAs cope with the degeneracy of the genetic code in two manners: having more than one tRNA (with a specific anti-codon) for a particular amino acid; and 'wobble' base-pairing, i.e. permitting non-standard base-pairing at the 3rd anti-codon position. Lineage: Bacteria; Pseudomonadati; Acidobacteriota; Holophagae; Acanthopleuribacterales; Acanthopleuribacteraceae. The record is from RNAcentral.
GGCGAUGUAGCCAAAUGGCUAAGGCAGAGGUCUGCAAAACCUUUAUUUGCCGGUUCGAGUCCGGCCAUCGCCUCCA